RNAcentral lists this unclassified non-coding RNA (321 nucleotides) under uncultured fungus. RNAcentral describes it as "partial contains 5.8S ribosomal RNA and internal transcribed spacer 2". The stretch from base 1 to 133 matches the Rfam family "5.8S ribosomal RNA", at positions 22 to 154 of the family's 154-position model. Lineage: Eukaryota; Fungi. The record is from RNAcentral.
UGGUUCUGGCAUCGAUGAAGAACGCAGCGAAAUGCGAUAAGUAGUGUGAAUUGCAGAAUUCAGUGAAUCAUCGAAUCUUUGAACGCACAUUGCGCCCCUUGGUAUUCCUUGGGGCAUGCCUGUACGAGAGUCGUUCAGAAACUCAAGCCUAGCUUGGUUGUGGGCGCUUGUCACUGCUCUGGCGCAGCGACUCGCCUCAAAACUAUUGGCAGCCUGCCUUUGAUGGCCGUACGCACAGCACAGUCGUGCCGAACGCUGCGGGCAGGCGCUCCAAAAGCCUUUCUUUGGGAAGACCUCGUAUCAGGUAGGAAUACCCGCUGA